GUCUUCUUGGUUGGAUAAGAAGUCUGACCUGCCCGGUGAUAUAUAAUUUUAACGGCCGCGGUAUUUUUGACCGUGCAAAGGUAGCAUAAUCAUUAGUCUUUUAAUAGGGGGCUGGUAUGAAGGGUUUGACGAGGAGUUGACUGUCUCAUUUGAUUUUAUUUUAGAAUUUAACUUUUCAGUUAAAAGGCUGAAAUUUCAUUGGAAGACGAGAAGACCCUAUAGAGUUUGAUAAUUAAUUUUAUAAUUAUACAUAAUAUUUAAUGUAUACAUUUAAUUAUUUUGUUGGGGUGACAAAAAUAUAUAAUUAACUUUUUUAUUUAUUUAUCAUUGAUAUAUGUACUUAAGAUCCAGUCUUAUUGAUUGUUAGAAUAAGUUACCUUAGGGAUAACAGCGUAAUCUUUCUUUGGAGUUCUUAUUUACAGAAAGGCUUGCGACCUCGAUGUUGGAUUAAGAUAACAGUUAGGUGUAGCCGCUUAAUGUGUAGGUCUGUUCGACCUUUAAAUUCUU
RNAcentral lists this ribosomal RNA (507 nucleotides) under Ictinogomphus pertinax. Its description in RNAcentral is "partial 16S rRNA". It matches the Rfam family "Bacterial large subunit ribosomal RNA", at positions 1831 to 2597 of the family's 2925-position model. Lineage: Eukaryota; Metazoa; Arthropoda; Insecta; Odonata; Gomphidae. The record is from RNAcentral.